This 492-nucleotide ribosomal RNA is filed under the name uncultured bacterium. RNAcentral describes it as "partial 16S ribosomal RNA". It matches the Rfam family "Bacterial small subunit ribosomal RNA", at positions 29 to 507 of the family's 1533-position model. The record is from RNAcentral.
AGUGAACGCUGGCGGUAGGCCUAACACAUGCAAGUCGAACGGCAGCACAGUAAGAGCUUGCUCUUACGGGUGGCGAGUGGCGGACGGGUGAGGAAUACAUCGGAAUCUACUUUUUCGUGGGGGAUAACGUAGGGAAACUUACGCUAAUACCGCAUACGACCUACGGGUGAAAGCAGGGGAUCUUCGGACCUUGCGCGAUUGAAUGAGCCGAUGUCGGAUUAGCUAGUUGGCGGGGUAAAGGCCCACCAAGGCGACGAUCCGUAGCUGGUCUGAGAGGAUGAUCAGCCACACUGGAACUGAGACACGGUCCAGACUCCUACGGGAGGCAGCAGAGGGGAAUAUUGGACAAUGGGCGCAAGCCUGAUCCAGCCAUACCGCGUGGGUGAAGAAGGCCUUCGGGUUGUAAAGCCGUUUUGUUGGGAAAGAAAAGCAGCAGGUUAAUACCCCGCUGUUCUGACGGUACUCAAAGAAUAAGCACCGGCUAACUUCGUG